Molecule: microRNA precursor, 112 nt
Filed under: Gorilla gorilla (western gorilla)
Lineage: Eukaryota; Metazoa; Chordata; Mammalia; Primates; Hominidae
Also listed under: 1 other name
Description: microRNA ggo-mir-4529 precursor
Rfam family: mir-4529 microRNA precursor family (bases 19-101)
Source: miRBase by way of RNAcentral
AGAGAAGGUAAAUAACUUCCCCAGUGACAGGCCAUCAACAGUCCAAUGAAGACAUGAAGACCCAAUGUCUUCAUUGGACUGCUGAUGGCCUGUCACUGGGAAAGUUAUUUAU